This 550-nucleotide ribosomal RNA is filed under the name uncultured bacterium. RNAcentral describes it as "bacterial SSU rRNA". It matches the Rfam family "Bacterial small subunit ribosomal RNA", at positions 355 to 896 of the family's 1533-position model. The record is from RNAcentral.
UAGGGAAUCUUCCACAAUGGGCGCAAGCCUGAUGGAGCAACACCGCGUGAGUGAAGAAGGGUUUCGGCUCGUAAAGCUCUGUUGUUAAAGAAGAACACGUAUGAGAGUAACUGUUCAUACGUUGACGGUAUUUAACCAGAAAGUCACGGCUAACUACGUGCCAGCAGCCGCGGUAAUACGUAGGUGGCAAGCGUUAUCCGGAUUUAUUGGGCGUAAAGAGAGUGCAGGCGGUUUUCUAAGUCUGAUGUGAAAGCCUUCGGCUUAACCGGAGAAGUGCAUCGGAAACUGGAUAACUUGAGUGCAGAAGAGGGUAGUGGAACUCCAUGUGUAGCGGUGGAAUGCGUAGAUAUAUGGAAGAACACCAGUGGCGAAGGCGGCUACCUGGUCUGCAACUGACGCUGAGACUCGAAAGCAUGGGUAGCGAACAGGAUUAGAUACCCUGGUAGUCCAUGCCGUAAACGAUGAGUGCUAGGUGUUAGACCCUUUCCGGGGUUUAGUGCCGCAGCUAACGCAUUAAGCACUCCGCCUGGGGAGUACGACCGCAAGGUUG